Molecule: long non-coding RNA, 446 nt
Organism: Hemicordylus capensis (graceful crag lizard)
Lineage: Eukaryota; Metazoa; Chordata; Lepidosauria; Squamata; Cordylidae
Exons: 3
Source: RefSeq, a predicted model, not a curated record
GUUGGAGAGAGAGAUGCGUUUGUGCCAGGUGUGGUUGAUCAACCAAAAGUCUUCAACCACUGGACAGCUGCAUUUAGAACUAUCGUCAAAAAACCAUAAAAUUUGAUUGUCAGCAUUCCAAGUUCAUGAUGAGGGUAGCUGCAACAGCAGUAUGCCAUUCGUCUGGUCUCCAUUCAUGAAAGCUGUAAUUUGUCAGACUGAAUAUAAGCAAACCUGAAAUCGGCAGCAGAGCUUCAACAAAGAGCUGGAUUCAUGAGGCCAAAUCACAGUGUAUUUCCACCACAAGCAGGGAUCUUUGGAACGGCAAGGAAACAUCAUUAGUUGGUUGUAUAGUAUCUGAACCUCUUUGGAUUUGCUUGAAUUUCUUUUGAAGUUUUCCUUGAGAAAGAACCUCUACAUUUGAUGCAAAGCUCACAUUGGGUGAAAUAUGAUGAUAAUCCAGGGAU